This 164-nucleotide unclassified non-coding RNA is filed under the name uncultured fungus. Its description in RNAcentral is "sequence contains ITS1". Lineage: Eukaryota; Fungi. The record is from RNAcentral.
CCGAGUUCUAUUAGCCUUUAUGGUUAAUAACUCCCACCCUAUGUUUUUUAAACUUGUUGCUUCGGUGGGACGUAGAUAUCCUGUCUCCGUUGGCAUCUGCGGGCGUGCGCCCACCGAAGGUUUUACUCUUGUCAACUUGUGUCUGAGUAACAUGAAAUCUAUAA